Long non-coding RNA from Hemicordylus capensis (graceful crag lizard), 783 nucleotides. RefSeq lists it as uncharacterized. Lineage: Eukaryota; Metazoa; Chordata; Lepidosauria; Squamata; Cordylidae. The record is from RefSeq and is a predicted model, not a curated record. The transcript is spliced from 3 exons.
UGGUGCUACAGCCCAGGGGAAGGAAAGCGUGAGGAGGGCUGUGUGAGAGAAGCGUUCUGUUAGACUGUUUCCUGCUGAGUGUUGUGAGAGCCAGAAGGCUAGAACACUAGCAGACUUGUAAUUUUUGUACUCUUGCCAACCUAAUCUUUCAUCUACUGUUCCUGUACUGAAUUUUUGAAACCUUUUUAUCACAAGUAAACCUGUUCUAGGUUUUAAUAUAUUUUCUGGUGUCUCUGUCAGUUAUUGUAGUCCCACCUCACGACUACUUGCCAUUUUUACCACACUACUAAGUUUUGGUCUUGUUUUUCCAAUGACAGAGGAUUUAGUGACUGUAAGCCUAAGCAGUCACACAGGUUUAACAGUCUUUUUGGUGCAGCAAAUGGUUAGACUGAAGGCCAGCUGCGGCCAAACCCUCACACUGGAGAUGCCAGGGAUUGAACUUGGGACCGUCUACAUGGGAAGCAGAUGCUCUACACGGACUAUGGCCUUUCCACCGAGUCCAUCUAGGUGAUGGACAUACUUGGUUCAUAUGGAGGAAGAGAUAUCUGGUUGUAUUAAAGGGUUAGCCUCAUGUGACUGGCAUCACUGCAGUUUAUAUUUGGACGCACAGAGGAAGACCCAUCUGCAACCAUCCCUGAAUUAGUCUCCUGUUCAUUAACAGUUAGAAUCAAGGGAAAGGGAAGACUCAUCUUGGAGAGCAGAACUGCACAUCUUUGGCCUUCCAGCUGUUUUUGGGGCCCCCGGCCACAGUGGCCAACAGCUCCAACAUCUGCAGGAGGCUUG